RNAcentral lists this transfer RNA (72 nucleotides) under Felis catus (domestic cat). It matches the Rfam family "tRNA". Rfam says of the family: Transfer RNA (tRNA) molecules are approximately 80 nucleotides in length. The record is from Rfam by way of RNAcentral. RNAcentral also lists the same sequence under 2 other names. Lineage: Eukaryota; Metazoa; Chordata; Mammalia; Carnivora; Felidae.
ACCUAGCUGGCUUAGUCAGUAGAGCAUGUGACUCUUGAUUUCGGGUUGUAAGUUCGAGCCUCACGUUGGGAG